GAUGAACGCUGGCGGCGUGCCUAAUACAUGCAAGUCGAGCGAACAGACGAGGAGCUUGCUCCUCUGACGUUAGCGGCGGACGGGUGAGUAACACGUGGAUAACCUACCUAUAAGACUGGGAUAACUUCGGGAAACCGGAGCUAAUACCGGAUAAUAUAUUGAACCGCAUGGUUCAAUAGUGAAAGACGGUUUUGCUGUCACUUAUAGAUGGAUCCGCGCCGCAUUAGCUAGUUGGUAAGGUAACGGCUUACCAAGGCAACGAUGCGUAGCCGACCUGAGAGGGUGAUCGGCCACACUGGAACUGAGACACGGUCCAGACUCCUACGGGAGGCAGCAGUAGGGAAUCUUCCGCAAUGGACGAAAGCCUGACGGAGCAACGCCGCGUGAGUGAUGAAGGUCUUCGGAUCGUAAAACUCUGUUAUUAGGGAAGAACAAAUGUGUAAGUAACUAUGCACGUCUUGACGGUACUUAAUCAGAAAGCCACGGCUAACUACGUG
Molecule: ribosomal RNA, 497 nt
Filed under: uncultured bacterium
Lineage: Bacteria
Description: partial 16S ribosomal RNA
Rfam family: Bacterial small subunit ribosomal RNA
Source: RNAcentral